This 1471-nucleotide long non-coding RNA is filed under the name Glycine max (soybean). RNAcentral's name for it is "long non-coding RNA (GMAX_LNC004199)". The record is from RNAcentral. Lineage: Eukaryota; Viridiplantae; Streptophyta; Magnoliopsida; Fabales; Fabaceae.
UCACAAGCUAAGAUUGCACAAUCAAUCAUCCAUGCUCUAUAAUAACCAAGCGUUUGUAAUUUGCUUUGUCGCAUGUACAUAGAUCUAACUGUCCUAGGGCUCACCCACGAGGGGUUCACAUGCUGAGGGAGGCAAAUUGGUUCAGCUUUAUUUUUGUGUCCAUCCAUUGUCAAUGAAAAUUGGAGGCCAAUGAAUGAAUGAUGAGAACUGAAAACUCUCGAAAUAUUCAAAGCUUGGUACCAUCGCUCCCUAUCACAUUAUUAUCCCUUGCCUCCAAAACACUCAUCAAUUGGGUUGUAGUCCCAUCCAAAUCUGGUAACCCUCCCUCUUCAACAUUCCCAAUAGCCACUGAUAUAUUUGCACCCGCAAAUGUUACCCCACAUGCAUUUUCCAUUUGGUUUCUUGCUAGCUCGCACCUUCGAGGAAGCUUCCUCUUUUCCCUUCAAAUAUAUAGUUGAUAUACUUGAUACUAACAUAUGUCACACUCUUCAGUCUCUCGAAGGAACCGGUUUUUAUUCAAUUAUAUCUUUGUUUUAGCCGUAUUCUACAAAAACUGUACAUGUUUUGUUUUCAGCCAUAGAAAGGAAUUAUUUAUUGAAAAGGCGCUUUAAUUGCAGGCAUCUCUUGCUAGCCUGAGUUUUGGCCUUUUCAGGCUUCCUUCGAGUGUGUUUAGAUAAGCGUUGUAAUUAUGUUAAACUGAAAAAUUACAUAUAUAUUCCAAAACAAAAACAGAAAAGUUAUGUUGAAUGGUGGUAAAUUGAGGGGGUCGGAUGCAACUGAAAUUCAAACACACCCUUAGUUUGCAGAUGUUUGAAUGAGUGUUGCAUCCAACACAACUAACUUUUAAGUCAAAGUUUCCACAGACUUGCUUAAUUUUGGCUUUUUUGUUUCAUAAAGUACGUGUAAUUUUCCAAACAUGGAUACAACAGGUAUAUUCAAUCGUUAAAGUGGUUGGUUAAUCCUAAAUCGAUAGGAGAAUCAACUUAAAUAAAGUUUAUAAAGCUCUAAUAAUUUCUGCCUUAUAAAUUGGUUUUAUACUGUUAAAUUAGGUUUUGAUCUCAUAAUUUAAGAUAAUGGAAUGUAUAUCUUAUUUUUAUAAUUAAAAUAUAGCAAGUAUAUCUUAAAUUCAUUAUUUGGACAAUCUGUAAUUGCUACAUAUGGUUUUGUAGAAUUAAGUAAGCUUCUAAGUUCAAAUUCUAAUAUUAUCAAUUAUGAAAAGAAAAGGACAUUAAUUUGCCAACAUCUUUGGUAUAAGAAAUUAUUUCAGGUGAAUGAUAGAGCAUGGGAGCGUGAGAUCGAGAAGCGAAUUUGAAUCAUCAUAUAAUUCAAAUAAAUAGUUUAAAUUAAAAUUAAUUAAAAUAAUCCUAAUCGUUAAAAUAUAACUUAAUGAUUAACAUUUAUUUUUGUCAUCCAUGCACACAUACAUAUAAAAUAAUGGUUUGAUAACUUACGAGGUUUCCUUGAACUUUCC